AACCAUAGAAACCUGCGGAGUACCUGCGGAAGGAUCAUUACAGAGUUGCAAAACUCCCACAAACCAUCGCGAAUCUUACCCGUACGGUUGCCUCGGCGCUGGCGGUCCGGAAGGCCCUCGGGCCCCCGGACCCUCGGGUCCCCCGCUCGCGGGGGGCUGCCCGCCGGAGUGCCGAAACCAAACUCUUGAUAUUUUAUGUCUCUCUGAGUAAACCUUUAAAUAAGUCAAAACUUUCAACAA
RNAcentral lists this unclassified non-coding RNA (240 nucleotides) under soil metagenome. RNAcentral's name for it is "partial contains 5.8S ribosomal RNA, internal transcribed spacer 2, and large subunit ribosomal RNA". The record is from RNAcentral.